GGCUCAGGAUGAACGCUAGCGGCAGGCUUAAUACAUGCAAGUCGUACGGGAUCCGAGGUAGCAAUACUUUGGUGAGAGUGGCGCACGGGUGCGUAACACGUAUGCAACCUACCUUUAACCGGGACACAACCUCGAGAAAUUGAGGCUAAUAUCCCAUAACACUGCGAAGUGGCAUCACUUUGCAGUUAAAACUCCGGUGGUUAUUGAUGGGCAUGCGCGACAUUAGCUAGUUGGUGAGGUAACGGCCCACCAAGGCUACGAUGUCUAGGGGUUCUGAGAGGAUUAUCCCCCACACUGGUACUGAGACACGGACCAGACUCCUACGGGAGGCAGCAGUAAGGAAUAUUGGUCAAUGGGCGCAAGCCUGAACCAGCCAUGCCGCGUGAAGGAUGACGGCCCUAUGGGUUGUAAACUUCUUUUGUACGGGAAAAAACCACCGGUCGUGUAUCGGUGCUGAUGGUACCGUAAGAAUAAGCAUCGGCUAACUCCGUGCCAGCAGCCGCGGUAAUACGGAGGAUGCAAGCGUUAUCCGGAUUCAUUGGGUUUAAAGGGUGCGCAGGCGGAGUGAUAAGUCAGUGGUGAAAGCCUACAGCUUAACUGUAGAACUGCCAUUGAUACUGUCAUUCUUGAGUAUUGUUGAGGUAGGCGGAAUGUGUCAUGUAGCGGUGAAAUGCUUAGAUAUGACACAGAACACCGAUCGCGAAGGCAGCUUACCAAGCAAUAACUGACGCUCAUGCACGAAAGCGUGGGGAUCAAACAGGAUUAGAUACCCUGGUAGUCCACGCCGUAAACGAUGAUCACUCGAUGUUGGCGAUACACAGUCAGCGUCUUAGGGAAACUAUUAAGUGAUCCACCCUGGGAGUA
This 864-nucleotide ribosomal RNA is filed under the name uncultured bacterium. RNAcentral's name for it is "bacterial SSU rRNA". It matches the Rfam family "Bacterial small subunit ribosomal RNA", at positions 21 to 882 of the family's 1533-position model. The record is from RNAcentral.